Molecule: long non-coding RNA, 503 nt
Organism: Octopus bimaculoides (California two-spot octopus)
Lineage: Eukaryota; Metazoa; Mollusca; Cephalopoda; Octopoda; Octopodidae
Source: RefSeq, a predicted model, not a curated record
UACAAAUUCUGUAGGAAAGGUAAAUUGCUGACCCUUACUACCAAUUCUAGCUCAGCGACAUCAUCAUUAUUAUCAUUAUCAUGGAAUUGGAAGAAAAACACAGUUGACGGACGCAAGACUCUACAGUUUUGGGGUAGUCUACACUAGCAACUUUUGAAUGAAAAUAGCCCGUCUAGACAUUUUUUCCGAAAAAUGAAGGUCUUCCAGAUUAUGGAGCGCGUCUGUCGAAGAGUAUAAAGAGCACUUUCUCAAAAUUAUGUGAAGUCCAAUAUUCGAUGAGCAAUUCUGAUUGCAGUUAUUCUACACAGACGCGCGCGCAAACACAAGACCAGAUACAUAAAACACACAGUGUGUAUACAUCUCAUAAUGAUUUAAAGAAUAACUAUAUGCAGAGUUUACUUUUCCAUCGAGCAAAUCGAUUUACCAAAGAGAAUCAUACGAACUUGAAUAAAGAAAGCAGUCUGGCUACAGGAACAUUACAUUUUGUCUAUGAACAGAGGCAC